UUUAUUUCUUCACGGAGAUCAUGGGCCAAAGUUUCAUUCAUAUUAAUCUUCUCAUCAUCAUCGAGUUACCAUCACCUCACGCCAUCACGAUAAGAGGGGUUCAUAACCGUUGCCUGAUGCCUUCACAGAAGUAAAUUGUCGUAUACAAUACAAACAGUACCAUGGCCUGAAUGAUAGAGAAACACAAAGUGAACAAUUGUAUAUCCUUAAUGCAUAUAUAGAUACUAAAACAUGAAGGUAUGGGGUAUGGCAGUCCACGUGAACUAACUACCUGGCCCAUAGCCAACAUAUAGCGUAAUCUCUUGGUGGCAUAUGGAUGUAGGAGUAACAAAACAAAGAAGAACACCUAAAGAAAGUAAAUAAGUAGACACCUAUUUCUUCCGAGAAAAUGUACAUGCUAUCACACAACAUGAUCAUGCUUAUGUAUUGAAUAUCAAGAAGGAAGAGACCACCAUAUGCCAGUGCAGAGGUAAGGGCCACCGGGACACAUAGCGAGUCAGGUGAGGUGCUCUUCCUGAGGUCCUACUGGUCUGCCGGAGGCACAAGGCGAACCACUAGGAGACAUGGCGAGCCAGCCGACGUGCUGUUCCUAGAGUCCUUCUGGACUGUGGAAGGCAUAGAUGGUGACAGGAUUCUCGUCUGGCAUGGUGGAAUUGAUCAGUAUGACGACAUCAAAUCCAGAACUCCCAGCCCGUAUGUCUCUCCCCUCUCCUGCAAUUGGCAAAGCAAUAAGUUAUCGAUCAAUAUCUAUGGACACAGCUGCAUGAGGGACAACAAGGUACAACAGAAAAAACACAUCAAUCAGUAUGCUUGUACAGUACACAGUACACACACCUUCGCAAACAUUAUAUUCUCUUUUGAUAUUUGAUUUCUACCACGUAAUAAGCACCGUCAUUCAUCUUUCAAAGUCCUGGUUGUUAAUUUUGCAUCAUGUGUGUGGUAAUCUGGAUUCAGCAAAACUCUGAAUCCUUUCUUGAUAAUCUCAGUGUUAUCAACUUAUCAUAAAGAACCUGACAGAAAAAAGGUUGCCACGGGACAAAUCAAGAAACCUAUUGCCCCAGUUUUAAAUCAAGCAACAACCAACUCACCUUAUAUAUUGAGUACACAACCAGAACCAUCAUCCUUGCACAUAGAGGAGAAGGACAUCAUGAUUUCUCAUCAGUCCCGUCUGGGCUUCGACUGCAUAUAAGAAAGCGUUACACGGGGUGGGCCGCUGCUCCAGUAACAAAUUCGUUGAUCUGCUAUUCAUUUAGCCUGACUUAGCCUUUAAUGUGUUCCUAGCUCUCACCCUUAUUACAUCUCUGACCGGCCAC
This 1313-nucleotide long non-coding RNA is filed under the name Triticum aestivum (bread wheat). Its description in RNAcentral is "long non-coding RNA (TAES_LNC027491)". Lineage: Eukaryota; Viridiplantae; Streptophyta; Magnoliopsida; Poales; Poaceae. The record is from RNAcentral.